RNAcentral lists this long non-coding RNA (212 nucleotides) under Nicotiana benthamiana. RNAcentral's name for it is "long non-coding RNA (NBEN_LNC000387)". Lineage: Eukaryota; Viridiplantae; Streptophyta; Magnoliopsida; Solanales; Solanaceae. The record is from RNAcentral.
CUUUACCUUUUUAUGUAGUACUAAUCCUUUUACUAUUUUUUUUGUAACCAGGGAAGAGUAAUUACCUUUGACUUUAUUUAAAACAAAAGAGAAUAUUUGUAUGCAAAAAGAAAGUGCGCAGGGUGCUGGCAGUUCUCCCUAUUUAAGAAGGCAAAAGGAAGUCACAACAGACACAUGCUCCAAACAGAAUGGAAGAAUACUGAGAGAGAGAG